AGCGAACGCUGGCGGCAGGCCUAACACAUGCAAGUCGAACGAACUCUUCGGAGUUAGUGGCGGACGGGUGAGUAACACGUGGGAACGUGCCUUUUGGUUCGGAAUAACUCAGGGAAACUUGUGCUAAUACCGAAUGUGCCCUUCGGGGGAAAGAUUUAUCGCCAUUAGAGCGGCCCGCGUCUGAUUAGCUAGUUGGUGAGGUAACGGCUCACCAAGGCGACGAUCAGUAGCUGGUCUGAGAGGAUGACCAGCCACACUGGGACUGAGACACGGCCCAGACUCCUACGGGAGGCAGCAGUGGGGAAUCUUGCGCAAUGGGCGAAAGCCUGACGCAGCCAUGCCGCGUGAAUGAUGAAGGUCUUAGGAUUGUAAAAUUCUUUCACCGGGGACGAUAAUGACGGUACCCGGGGAAGAAGCCCCGGCUAACUUCGUG
This 433-nucleotide ribosomal RNA is filed under the name uncultured bacterium. RNAcentral describes it as "partial 16S ribosomal RNA". It matches the Rfam family "Bacterial small subunit ribosomal RNA", at positions 29 to 507 of the family's 1533-position model. The record is from RNAcentral.